Molecule: ribosomal RNA, 492 nt
Filed under: uncultured bacterium
Lineage: Bacteria
Description: partial 16S ribosomal RNA
Rfam family: Bacterial small subunit ribosomal RNA
Source: RNAcentral
AGUGAACGCUGGCGGUAGGCCUAACACAUGCAAGUCGAACGGCAGCACAGUAAGAGCUUGCUCUUACGGGUGGCGAGUGGCGGACGGGUGAGGAAUACAUCGGAAUCUACUUUUUCGUGGGGGAUAACGUAGGGAAACUUACGCUAAUACCGCAUACGACCUACGGGUGAAAGCAGGGGAUCUUCGGACCUUGCGCGAUUGAAUGAGCCGAUGUCGGAUUAGCUAGUUGGCGGGGUAAAGGCCCACCAAGGCGACGAUCCGUAGCUGGUCUGAGAGGAUGAUCCGCCACACUGGAACUUGGACCACGGCCCGACUCCUUAGGGAGGCAGCCGUGGGGAAUAUUGGACAAUGGGCGCAAGCCUGAUCCAGCCAUACCGCGUGGGUGAAGAAGGCCUUCGGGUUGUAAAGCCCUUUUGUUGGGAAAGAAAAGCAGCAGGUUAAUACCCCGCUGUUCUGACGGUACCCAAAGAAUAAGCCCCGGCUAACUUCGUG